GAAGGGAAUGGCGCUCCGAAAUGAUGCGCACGGUGGCAGCGGGGCACGGGGGCUCUCCGUCUAACGAUCGGGAAAAUGACGCAGCUCCAGGCCGAUCCCAGAGCCUUCAGCUCCAUUAGUACAUUUGUGCAACUCUUGCGGCGAACGGGAAAACUGCCCCGGCAGGUACUUUAGGGCCGGGCACGAUGUGGAGAUUUAACAAGGAUCCUGAAGCUGGAGGCACACAAUGACUGCCACUGAAGAGGAGCUGCCUGUGCAGCAUCCCCGUGACAUCUGCCUCAUUUCAAUAAUUUCCAGCCAUUGAACCUCUGUCUGAAUGAGCAUUAAGGAAACAGAGGCAUGUUUGGAUACUAAUUUGAGCCUCUCUCGGGUUUGAGUUUUAUGCUGAUGCCUGUGGCUCAGUUGACGGUGUUGACGUCUGCGGCUUUCCGUCCGUGAGACCGGACACCUUCCUGCCGUGUCUAUCAAGGAGACGGAAAGCCCUGGUGUGCGUCCCCCUCUCCCUACUGUGGACGGUUAGCGUCCGUUGAGCGGUGCAGACGCCUCGACCGUGAAAAGCUGAGCGGAGACCGAGAGCCUCGUUUCAUACGAGGCUGGGUAAAGGUCAUCUGAAGUCCUUCCCCGGUGAGCUAAUGCCCUUCGGUUGUGACCACCCGGCAUUUGAAACCGUGACCUACCGCUUUGCCCCACGCAAAGGACGAGGGCUCUGAAACCGACUUGCCGUAAGACAUCAUGGGCCGCUCUAAGUUGUCCAGGAGGACAGGUGUGUGUCCUGCAGCGUGGUCGGUCCAUCCAGAAGAAUCUUGAACGUUCACAUGCCUCGUGACUUACCAAUGUAUAUUCACCGAUGUCAGAGAUCGGCACGUGUGCUCCCUGAGCUUAUUACUGUAACAAGUUUCUCCCAUGCUCCCGGGCAGAUUCUUCGUGUCUCCUCGUCCAGACUACUGACUCAGUUUAAGAUUACAUCCUUUUCUCCUUUGCGUUUAUUGCAUUUGCCCUGUAAAACUCGUUCCCUUCGCCUCAUAGGACACCUAGAGACACCAGGGGCAUUCCAAGACUGGGCAUGAGGUACGUCUGAUGCUGUUCCUUUAACACAACUCUGUCUCUCUCUGAUCUGUGAAACUCCCCAGCAUCCUGUCAGGGUUAUUGGGACCCAGGGAUAGAGGGCAGGAGCCUGCCUACGUAUUAAUUGUCUGGCGUUGGAUGAUUUUUUUUCUCUCAAGCGCAUUCAGGCUGCUACCUCUGCAGUAUGGUUCUCAGUGCCUCACUGCAUCGCUGAGAAAAGAAAUGGUAAAUUAAGUAGAUUUUGAAAUUGCCCAUUGAACUCACAUCAUUAAAUAAUUCUAUAAGAAAUUCAUAAGCAGAGACAAGUAGGAAGAUUAAAAUGCUAUAAAUUAUGUAUGUGGGGUGGUGGGGUGGGAUAUACAUUUAUUUUGCCCUUUGUUCUGGCCACAAAGCACCCACGGCUAGGCAUGGUUCUGCCCACGGCUUCACAAGAAGCACCUGAAAGGAAGCAUGACCCCUGAGUGCCCCCAAAAGGGGGAUGAUUGUAACAACAUUUAACCCAUCUCUAGGAACUGACUCAACACCUCUGCGUCACUCAAGUUACACUUUGUCCCAGUGAGACAUUAAAGGUUGUGUUUUUCCCUCUUAAGUUGCCCUUUUAGGUGCUUUGCCCUCCUCGAUCCUAUCCUAUCCAGCAGCGAGGAAGUAGGGGAGGGACACUGCUUAUCUUACGUUUAAGGCAUUUUCCUCUCGUUCACCCCCAAAUGCCGAGAAAGUUCCGAACACACCUGGUCAUUGGUCAUUGUCCUCUUUCACUAUUCUUAGUCGUUCCGUCCUAUCACUUUGAGAAGUGUUCUCGCUAGUUAUCCUCAGUGACUCUGUUUCUACCUGGUCUGUAAAUACAGACAAGGACACUUGGAUUUUCAAACCGCCGUACGUCAGUGCCUAAAACAAUGCCUGGUCCCAAAGCAGUGCUCUGGUUAUCCACAGCCAUGUCAAAUCUCUCCAAAAUGUAGUUGUUGUUGAAAACAACAACAAUUAUCUUAUUAUCUCUCACUGGCUCUGUGGGUCAGGAGUCAGGGAGCUUUAAUUCCUGACCUACAGUUUCAAUGGUUCUGCCUCAACGUCUCCCAUGCAGGUGCAGGAAGCCUAACCACCAGGAAUGGACUUUCCGGGCGUCUUUAUCUCUUACAUGGAGAGGUCUCAGGGCCUCUCGGUGUGGUGUCUCUUUAUCUGGCUAGUUGGGCUUCCUCACAACAUGGCUGCCUUGGGACAAGAAGAUGACUCAUGAGAACUGAAAGCUUCAAGACUCAGCAUUCCAACAGAAAGGCAGAAGCUAUGAAGACUUUUCCAGCCGAGGCACCGGAGUCACACAGCACCAUUUCCACUGCAUUCUCUUAUUUACAAGUGAAUCCCAAGCGUAUCCAGAUUCCGGGAGAGGGAAAUAAGACACUACUUCCUGUUGGGAGUGUGGGCACAGUUCUAGAAGAGCAUUGGGUAAUGGCUAUACUUGGAUAGUAUAAUCUACCACAGAGAGUGCUGCCCAAGCAUUGUUUGUGAAACAAGUAAAUAAGUAGUUCUUAAUGA
This is a long non-coding RNA of Felis catus (domestic cat), 2592 nucleotides long. RefSeq lists it as uncharacterized. NCBI's taxonomy places the organism in Eukaryota, Metazoa, Chordata, Mammalia, Carnivora, Felidae. The record is from RefSeq and is a predicted model, not a curated record. The transcript is spliced from 2 exons.